UGUCAUAAAGCGGCGGGAGUGGGCGGUGGGCGUCUGUGGAUGGAGCUUUCACUUGUGCUGGCGAAAGUAGCAAGGAGAGUAACUUUUGCCCCGCAGUUGGGGCGAAUCAAACAGCCAAGCCAUGUAAGCCCUUAAGUUAUAUUCUUGAAGCCCAGUUUGGACAUUUUUUACAAUGGUGACGUGUAUGGCGCAAGACUCUUCCCAGUCUUCUGGCCAAGCCAGCUGCAGAAUGGGGCUUUGGCGGCACCUGUACGUGCUUCCCCUCUGCGUUUUUAUCGGAUUCGUUGUUACGUUCUUCACGACGUACGCCAUAGCCGUGCAGCUGGACCACGUGAAGCCCAACUUCCCGUACAUCAGCGACGGCGGCACCUGCGCCCCCGAGUCCUGCAUCUUCGGCCAGCUGCUCAACAUCACCGCCGUGCUCCUUGGCCUGACCGUGUACAUCCGGUACAGCCUGGUGGAAGACUACUACAGCGUGGGCCACGCGCGCGCCCGCUGGGAGCGCUGGCUCAACAAGGGCGGCUUCUUCUGCGGCAUGUGCGGCGCGCUCGGCAUCAGCAUCGUCGGCAACUUUCAGGAGACCAACGUGCUGGGCAUGCACCUGUUCGGCGCCAUGCUCGCCUUCUUCCUUGGCGUCUUCUACUGCUGGAUUCAGGUGCCGAUCACGUACAAGACGCGGCCGGACAUGACGCGUCCGUGGCUGACCGGCGUCCGCCUGUUCAUCGCCGCCACCUGCACCGGCCUCUUCGUCAGCGGCUGGGCGUGCGCCGCCGCCACGCCCACAGAGUUCAGCAAACGGCUGCAGGACUCGAUCAAGGCCUGCAACGCCUCAGAGAUCCCGGACAGCGAGUGGGGCCUGCCCCUGCACGGCUGGGAGUACCACAUCUGCAGCACCUCCUCCGAGUGGUGUCUGGCGCUGCUAUUCGCCCUCUACCUGCUCACGUUCGUCUACGAGUUUCGGCUGGUGGCCGUGGAGAAGCCCAAGGUGAGCGUCCGCGCGCGGCUCGGCGGCGGCGUUGUCGACACGCGAUGUGUGCGCAGCUGAGGCCACACUUACGGCGCACGCGCCCUCUGUUGGUGGGAGAACGAUAGGUGUACGCUGGAUGUCUCGGUGGUAGUCUUUGUGUUUGACGCAUUCAGGUCAAAAUAUGACACGUAAGUGCAAGGAUGGAGGAAUGCGUGCAACUAUGGAUGGAUGUUGAUCAGGUGAAGCCUGCCAUCUCCAUGCUUCUUGCAUAUAUAUAUAUGCAUAUCAAAUCUGACUGGCUUGUUUUCACGUGAUGUACAAAGGACCCGCCGCAUGAGAUAAGUACGCCUGCAUAGUUAUGUAGAAAGGACUGCGUUGGUGGUGGUUGUAUGACGAAGAAGUUGCACAACCAUAAUUCGGGACCAGCUUCGCGGAGACGUGUUAACUAAAGCUCGAAGCAAAUUGUUUUGCGCUUCAAGCCACCUUCCGCGGAGUGGAUGAACCGUUAGUUGACGUGCCAGCCGCCAGGGCAGGUUCCAAAGCCAGACCAGGUUGAGUGACGGCGCUGCCGUCCCAAUUCUAGGUGCACUGUGGCGUGCCCAAGCCGUGCGACACUGACGAGCCCGUGCGGGCCUAGCGCCCGGGCACCAGCUGCUGCGCGUGGCCAGCGUGCUGCACCGGC
Molecule: unclassified non-coding RNA, 1649 nt
Filed under: Pollicipes pollicipes
Lineage: Eukaryota; Metazoa; Arthropoda; Thecostraca; Pollicipedomorpha; Pollicipedidae
Description: dNA damage-regulated autophagy modulator protein 2- like, transcript variant X2
Source: RNAcentral